GUGCCCUUCGGGUUCGGAAUAACUCAGGGAAACUUGAGCUAUUACCGGAUACGCCCUUAUGGGGAAAGGUUUACUGCCGAAGGAUCGGCCCGCGUCUGAUUAGCUUGUUGGUGGGGUAACGGCCUACCAAGGCGACGAUCAGUAGCUGGUCUGAGAGGAUGAUCAGCCACACUGGGACUGAGACACGGUCCAAAUUCAUACGGGAGGCAGCAGUGGGGAAUAUUGGACAAUGGGCGCAAGCCUGAUCCAGCCAUGCCGCGUGAGUGAUGAAGGCCUUAGGGUUGUAAAGCUCUUUUGUCCGGGACGAUAAUGACGGUACCGGAAGAAUAAGCCCCGGCUAACUUCGUGCCAGCAGCCGCGGUAAUACGAAGGGGGCUAGCGUUGCUCGGAAUCACUGGGCGUAAAGGGCGCGUAGGCGGCCGAUUAAGUCGGGGGUGAAAGCCUGUGGCUCAACCACAGAAUUGCCUUCGAUACUGGUUGG
Molecule: ribosomal RNA, 481 nt
Filed under: Methylobacterium sp. acu14
Lineage: Bacteria; Pseudomonadati; Pseudomonadota; Alphaproteobacteria; Hyphomicrobiales; Methylobacteriaceae
Description: bacterial SSU rRNA
Rfam family: Bacterial small subunit ribosomal RNA
Source: RNAcentral